This 528-nucleotide ribosomal RNA is filed under the name Geotrigona mombuca. Its description in RNAcentral is "partial 16S ribosomal RNA". The stretch from base 376 to 528 matches the Rfam family "Bacterial large subunit ribosomal RNA", at positions 2473 to 2626 of the family's 2925-position model. Lineage: Eukaryota; Metazoa; Arthropoda; Insecta; Hymenoptera; Apidae. The record is from RNAcentral.
GUCUUAUUGAAAUUAAUUUUAAGUCGAUCUGCCCAAUGAGAAAUUAAAUGGCUGCAGUAUAACUGACUGUACAAAGGUAGCAUAAUCAAUUGGUUUUUAAAUGAAAUCUGGAAUGAAAGGAUUAAUGAAAUAUAUACUGUCUCAUAUUUAUUAUAUGAAUUUAAAAUUUUAAUAAAAAUGUUAAAAUUUUUUUAUGGGACGAUAAGACCCUAUAGAAUUUUAUAUUAAUUUUUUUUAUAUUAUUAAUAUUUAAAUGAAAAUUAAUAUUUAGUUGGGAGAAUUAUUAAAUUUAAUUAAUUUUAAUUAAUAAAAACUUUAAUUAAAGAAUAUAAAUUUGAUUUUUAAUUUAAUAUUAUUAGAAUAAAUUACCUUAGGGAUAACAGCGUUAUAUUUUUUUAUAGAUCUUAUAGAAAAAAAUGAUUGCGACCUCGAUGUUGAAUUAAGAUAAAUUUUAAAUGUAGAAGUUUAAUGAUUAAGUCUGUUCGACUUUUAAAAUCUUACAUGAUUUGAGUUCAAAUCGACGUAAGU